ACUGAGGACCAAGAAGUCUGACUCUGAUGGAGCAGGCCUUUGCUGAUCCCUCCUCCUAGACAGAGGGGUGAAGAAAGCAGCCCUGACUGGAGAAAACCAGAGGGCUGAGUGUACGACCCAACAUUU
Myodes glareolus (Bank vole) is the source of this 126-nucleotide non-coding RNA. The record is from RefSeq and is a predicted model, not a curated record. NCBI's taxonomy places the organism in Eukaryota, Metazoa, Chordata, Mammalia, Rodentia, Cricetidae.